AUUAAUAAAUAAAUAAAAUCUUAAAAAAAAAAAGAGUGAUACAGAGGAGAUUUAGCAUGGCCCCUGCACAAGGAUGACAUGUAAAUUCUUGAAGCAGUUCAUAUUAAC
Small nuclear RNA from Mirounga angustirostris (Northern elephant seal), 108 nucleotides. Lineage: Eukaryota; Metazoa; Chordata; Mammalia; Carnivora; Phocidae. The record is from RefSeq and is a predicted model, not a curated record.